UAAUGCAUGUAAGUCGAGCGAUGAGGCCCUCUUCGGGGGGUACAUCAGCGGCAGACGGGUGAGUAGCACGUAGGUGAUCUACCCCAGAGACGGGGAUAACGGACGGAAACGCCCGCUAAUACCGGAUGACCUUGUCAGGUCAAAGCGACAAGGAAAGGCUCCGGCGCUCUGGGAGGAGCCUGCGGCCCAUCAGCUAGUUGGCGGGGUAAAGGCCCACCAAGGCGAAGACGGGUAGGGGGUGUGAGAGCAUGGCCCCCCACAAUGGGACUGAAACACGGCCCAUACUCCUACGGGAGGCAGCAGCAGGGAAUAUUGCACAAUGGACGGAAGUCUGAUGCAGCGACGCCGCGUGGAUGAUGAAGGCCCUCGGGUUGUAAAAUCCUUUACAAGGGGACGAGGAAGGACGGUACCCUUGGAACAAGUGUCGGCUAACUACGUGCCAGCAGCCGCGGUAAGACGUAGGACACAAGCGUUAUCCGGAUUUACUGGGCGUAAAGCGUCUGCAGGCGGACAGGUAAGUUGGGCGUGAAAGCUCCGGGCCCAACCCGGAGAGGUCGUUCAAUACUGCGUGUCUAGAGGGUGUCAGAGGGGAGUGGAAUUUCCGGAGUAGCGGUAAAAUGCGCAGAGAUCGGAAAGAACAACAAUGGCGAAGGCAGCUCCCUGGGGCAUACCUGACGCUAAGAGACGAAAGCUAGGGGAGCGAACAGGAUUAGAGACCCUGGUAGUCCUAGCCCUAAACGAUGGAUGCUGGAUGUGGGGCCAUAGCGCUCCGUGUCGAAGCGAACGCGUUAAGCAUCCCGCCUGGGGACUACGGCCGCAAGGUUAAAACUCAAACGAAUUGACGGGACCCCGCACAAGCAGCGGAGCGUGUGGUUUAAUUCGAUGCUACACGAAGAACCUUACCUGGGUUUGACAUCUAGGUGGUAGCGAAGUGAAAGCGGAGCGACCCUUCGGGGAGCCUAGACAGGUGCUGCAUGGCUGUCGUCAGCUCGUGCCGUGAGGUGUCGGGUUAAGUCCCGUAACGAGCGCAACCCUUGCCCUCCGUUAUACGUGUCAGAGGGGACUGCCGGCGGUAAGCCGGAGGAAGGUGGGGAUGACGUCAAGUCAGCAUGGCCUUUAUAUCCAGGGCUACACACA
This 1137-nucleotide ribosomal RNA is filed under the name uncultured organism. Its description in RNAcentral is "bacterial SSU rRNA". It matches the Rfam family "Bacterial small subunit ribosomal RNA", at positions 49 to 1222 of the family's 1533-position model. The record is from RNAcentral.